AUUGAACGCUGGCGGCAGGCCUAACACAUGCAAGUCGAACGAGUGGCGGACGGGUGAGUAAUGUCUGGGAAACUGCCAGAUGGAGGGGGAUAACUACUGGAAACGGUAGCUAAUACCGCAUACCAUCGGAUGUGCCCAGAUGGGAUUUGCUAGUAGGUGGGGUAACGGCUUACCUAGGCGACGAUCCCUAGCUGGUCUGAGAGGAUGACCAGCCCCACUGGAACUGAGACACGGUCCAGACGCCUACGGUAGGCAGCAGUUGUGAAGAUUGCACAAUGGGCGCAAGCCUGAUGCAGCCAUGCCGCGUGUAUGAAGAAGGCCUUCGGGUUGUAAAGUACUUUCAGCGAGGAGGCGUUACUCGCAGAAGAAGCACCGGCUAACUCCGGGCCAGCAGCCGCGGUAAUUC
RNAcentral lists this ribosomal RNA (406 nucleotides) under uncultured bacterium. RNAcentral's name for it is "partial 16S ribosomal RNA". It matches the Rfam family "Bacterial small subunit ribosomal RNA", at positions 30 to 526 of the family's 1533-position model. The record is from RNAcentral.